Non-coding RNA from Ictidomys tridecemlineatus (thirteen-lined ground squirrel), 296 nucleotides. The record is from RefSeq and is a predicted model, not a curated record. Lineage: Eukaryota; Metazoa; Chordata; Mammalia; Rodentia; Sciuridae.
UUCAGACACAUCUCUUGAUUGCAUCAAAGAAGCCACACCAAGUAACUGGCCUAUACUAUCUAAGGUCAUGAUUGGAUCUGGGAUACCACAUUACAACACCUCCCUGCACUCUGCCAGUCUGUGAGCUUCAUGGUCUUUCCUUGACCCUCACUAACAGGUCAGCUUCGUAUCUGACAUGCAACUGAAGAAGGCGUAACUCUGGCAAGGCCGGCUAUGAUCACUUGUUUGUUUAGAAAAUCAGCACAGAGCCUGAUAGUACUUUACUAAAAUGGCUGCAUUCUUUGGAUUCCCUCAUC